This 611-nucleotide ribosomal RNA is filed under the name Staphylococcus aureus. Its description in RNAcentral is "partial 23S ribosomal RNA". It matches the Rfam family "Bacterial large subunit ribosomal RNA", at positions 625 to 1240 of the family's 2925-position model. The record is from RNAcentral. Lineage: Bacteria; Bacillati; Bacillota; Bacilli; Caryophanales; Staphylococcaceae.
GAGUUACGAUUUGAUGCAAGGUUAAGCAGUAAAUGUGGAGCCGUAGCGAAAGCGAGUCUGAAUAGGGCGUUUAGUAUUUGGUCGUAGACCCGAAACCAGGUGAUCUACCCUUGGUCAGGUUGAAGUUCAGGUAACACUGAAUGGAGGACCGAACCGACUUACGUUGAAAAGUGAGCGGAUGAACUGAGGGUAGCGGAGAAAUUCCAAUCGAACCUGGAGAUAGCUGGUUCUCUCCGAAAUAGCUUUAGGGCUAGCCUCAAGUGAUGAUUAUUGGAGGUAGAGCACUGUUUGGACGAGGGGCCCCUCUCGGGUUACCGAAUUCAGACAAACUCCGAAUGCCAAUUAAUUUAACUUGGGAGUCAGAACAUGGGUGAUAAGGUCCGUGUUCGAAAGGGAAACAGCCCAGACCACCAGCUAAGGUCCCAAAAUAUAUGUUAAGUGGAAAAGGAUGUGGCGUUGCCCAGACAACUAGGAUGUUGGCUUAGAAGCAGCCAUCAUUUAAAGAGUGCGUAAUAGCUCACUAGUCGAGUGACACUGCGCCGAAAAUGUACCGGGGCUAAACAUAUUACCGAAGCUGUGGAUUGUCCUUUGGACAAUGGUAGGAGAGCGUU